This 253-nucleotide ribosomal RNA is filed under the name uncultured bacterium. Its description in RNAcentral is "partial 16S ribosomal RNA". It matches the Rfam family "Bacterial small subunit ribosomal RNA", at positions 524 to 776 of the family's 1533-position model. The record is from RNAcentral.
UACGUAGGGAGCAAGCGUUGUCCGGAAUCAUUGGGCGUAAAGCGCGCGUAGGUGGCUUCGUAAGUCCGUUGUGAAAGUCAAAGGCUCAACCUUUGAAAGCCGAUGGAUACUGUGAAGCUAGAGUACGGAAGAGGCGAGUGGAAUUCCUGGUGUAGCGGUGGAAUGCGCAGAUAUCAGGAAGAACACCUGUGGCGAAGGCGGCUCUCUGGUACGUGACUGACGCUGAGACGCGAAAGCGUGGGGAGCGAACAGG